UUCCAGGCCCUACGGGGCGCAGCAGGCGCGAAACCUCCGCAAUGCGAGCAAUCGCGACGGGGGGACCCCAAGUGCCACUCUUAACGGGGUGGCUUUUCUUAAGUGUAAAAAGCUUUUGGAAUAAGGGCUGGGCAAGACCGGUGCCAGCCGCCGCGGUAACACCGGCAGCUCUAGUGGUAGCCAUUUUUAUUGGGCCUAAAGCGUUCGUAGCCGGUUUGAUAAGUCUCUGGUGAAAUCCUAUAGCUUAACUGUGGGACUUGCUGGAGAUACUAUUAGACUUGAGGUCGGGAGAGGUUAGCGGUACUCCCAGGGUAGGGGUGAAAUCCUGUAAUCCUGGGAGGACCACCUGUGGCGAAGGCGGCUAACUGGAACGAACCUGACGGUGAGGGACGAAAGCCAGGGGCGCGAACCGGAUUAGAUACCCGGGUAGUCCUGGCCGUAAACUAUGCGAACUWGGUGUURGAWWGGCUUCGAGCYKAUCCAGUGCCGAAGGGAAGCUGUUAAGUCCGCCGCCUGGGAAGUACGGUCGCAAGACUGAAACUUAA
RNAcentral lists this ribosomal RNA (545 nucleotides) under uncultured euryarchaeote. RNAcentral describes it as "bacterial SSU rRNA". It matches the Rfam family "Archaeal small subunit ribosomal RNA", at positions 314 to 859 of the family's 1478-position model. The record is from RNAcentral. Lineage: Archaea; Methanobacteriati; Methanobacteriota.